RNAcentral lists this ribosomal RNA (253 nucleotides) under uncultured bacterium. RNAcentral describes it as "partial 16S ribosomal RNA". It matches the Rfam family "Bacterial small subunit ribosomal RNA", at positions 524 to 776 of the family's 1533-position model. The record is from RNAcentral.
UACGGAGGGAGCAAGCGUUAUCCGGAAUUACUGGGUUUAAAGGGUGCGUAGGCGGCUUGAUAAGUCAGGGGUGAAAGCCCGCAGCUUAACUGCGGAACUGCCUUUGAUACUGUCGAGCUUGAAAGAGGUUGAGGUCAGCGGAACGUGACAUGUAGCGGUGAAAUGCAUAGAUAUGUCACAGAACACCGAUUGCGAAGGCAGCUGGCUGGACCUGCUUUGACGCUGAGGCACGAAAGCGUGGGGAGCGAACAGG